UACAGAGGUCUCAAGCGUUGUUCGGAUUCAUUGGGCGUAAAGGGUGCGUAGGUGGCGUGGUAAGUCGGGUGUGAAAUUUCGGAGCUUAACUCCGAAACUGCAUUCGAUACUGCCGUGCUUGAGGACUGGAGAGGAGACUGGAAUUUACGGUGUAGCAGUGAAAUGCGUAGAGAUCGUAAGGAAGACCAGUGGCGAAGGCGGGUCUCUGGACAGUUCCUGACGCUGAGGCACGAAGGCCAGGGGAGCAAACGGG
Molecule: ribosomal RNA, 253 nt
Filed under: uncultured bacterium
Lineage: Bacteria
Description: partial 16S ribosomal RNA
Rfam family: Bacterial small subunit ribosomal RNA
Source: RNAcentral